UACGUAGGGUGCGAGCGUUGUCCGGAAUUAUUGGGCGUAAAGAGCUCGUAGGCGGUUUGUUGCGUCGGCCGUGAAAACUCAGGGCUUAACUCUGAGCCUGCGGUCGAUACGGGCAGACUUGAGUUCGGUAGGGGAGACUGGAAUUCCUGGUGUAGCGGUGAAAUGCGCAGAUAUCAGGAGGAACACCGGUGGCGAAGGCGGGUCUCUGGGCCGAUACUGACGCUGAGGAGCGAAAGCGUGGGGAGCGAACAGG
RNAcentral lists this ribosomal RNA (253 nucleotides) under uncultured bacterium. RNAcentral describes it as "partial 16S ribosomal RNA". It matches the Rfam family "Bacterial small subunit ribosomal RNA", at positions 524 to 776 of the family's 1533-position model. The record is from RNAcentral. RNAcentral also lists the same sequence under 1 other name.